Molecule: ribosomal RNA, 254 nt
Filed under: uncultured prokaryote
Description: partial 16S ribosomal RNA
Rfam family: Bacterial small subunit ribosomal RNA
Source: RNAcentral
ACGUAGGUGGCAAGCGUUGUUCGGAAUUAUUGGGCGUAAAGCGCACGUAGGCGGCUUUGUAAGUCUCACUGUGAAAGCCCGGGGCUCAACCCCGGGACUGCAGGGGAUACUGCGAGGCUUGAGUCAAGUAGAGGUUGGUAGAAUUCCGGGUGUAGCGGUGGAAUGCGUAGAGAUCCGGAGGAAUACCAGAGGCGAAGGCGGCCAACUGGACUUGUACUGACGCUGAGGUGCGAAAGCGUGGGGAGCGAACAGGA